GGAAAGUAGUGGUGUGGAGACUUUUAAGAUGCUUCAAGUUGUGAAAUUCAGCCAAGUUGGUGGCAAUUUAUUUCCUUAUCUCAAGUUUUAAACAGAACCAGCAAGGAAAACCUCAGACUCAUGAGUCACGGAAUGUCCUAAAUUUUCUUGCCUCAUGUUUGCUCUGCGUGCGUACGUACACAAAUAUGCCAUAAGUUUCCUCUUCUUUUAAAUGCUUCUUCUGAAUGGUCUCAGCUAACUUAUCUGAAAUGAAACAAAUGCAACAAUACCCUGCACACUUCCUUAAAAUACGAUACACUGAAAUAUGUGAAGUCAAAUUUGGGCAGAUGGUAAAAAACAAAAACAAACCAGUUUUGUUUUGAGAGGUUACUUAUUUCAUUUACUAUGCCAAAACCUGGGAAAUGUUUACAUGCCAAAUUCCUGCAUGGUUGUAAAAACAAAUUGAAUUAUAUUAGAAAAGUUGACUUAUGUUCUGUCAGGUUCAUGCUCUGAGAAAGAUGAUGGCUCAGAAGCUUGCCACUGGUUUCUUCCCCCCACCCCUUUCUCCCCCCUAACAGGAGACUCCUAUCCCUCCAGUCCAGGAGGACACAUCGUUCAUCAGCUAAAGUUUUUUUUCUUCACAAUUGGUGUCUGUGCACACCUAGAUAUCCAACACAUCAAGAAAAAUAUGGAUCAACAGCCUUCAUCUUUGGACUUUGUUUGGGGCCCAAUUGUUCAUGAAAGCCUAUCAGAAUAAUCUAAAUCUACACUACCCUUAUUCCACUGUCCUGUUACUGCCAACUGAGGGAUAACACCAUGGGCUAUUUUCUCUCUUCCACUCCUGGUAUCAUUGAAUAUUCCAUUUGAAGUGUUUUGAAGAACUUAGAAGAUCACUCAUGACUCUGUAACAUUAUGCUCGCGUCCUCCCGCCCACCAUGGAGAAACCUUGAAAUGACAGAAUUGUUGGUGACACUCUGUGAAAGGGACCUUGGGAGAGCUGACAACUCCCAGGCACCUGGAAAACAUGGGGGAAGGAAAGCUGGUGUUCAGUGAAAAACCUCCUGAUAGGAGGUGCCUGAGGAAGAUAAAAGGGGGAUUCAGGAACAAUGGGAACCAAUGCAGAAACCUCAGACUGCAGGAGCUACCAGUGAAGUUAACUGGAUCCCCAUCAGAAAAGACGCUACCCAGCGGGUUCCUGCAGGGAGAUCCUGCAGGGACUCUACAGACAAGAUUGAGGGGUGUUUGCUGUUGCUGAAUCCAAACUGUCCUCAAUAAAAUCUGUUUUUACUUCCACUAGCAAUCUGGAGCCAAUGGAAUAAUUGCCAGGAAACCUUGCAGCCACUGACACCCCCAGCAAGGCAACCUGCAGUGCACGCAGUUGGAAUUUUAAUGGUGGAUGUAUAUAACACUGACUAAUUUCGGUUUUUGUGGACUUGGAUAAUAUUAGUAUGUUGAUCAGCUGGUCACAUUUGAGGAUUUAAAAUGGUUUAUGUGUGAAUAUUUUCAUUUAAAAUUGCCACCUUUUUCAUAUGGAUCCUAAACAUUGUGGUUCAGUCUAGUACAAAAGCAGCUGGUUGGUGAAUGUGAUGGUGCAUACACUAACAGAAACAAGUCAAACCACAGAGAUGUUUUUCUUUCUAUACCGGAAACACCUGCCUGAAAAAGAAAAGAAAAAAAAAACGGUUUGCUCAAACUUUCUAUAGAAAAGGGGGGUGGGUGGAAUAAUCUUCUUCAUUUUUUUUAAAUUAGAGUGAUUCUACCCAGUUAAUUUCAGCUUAAUUCUCUUCAAUGAAACAGUUUGAGGAGACUAGGAGCACUCUUUUCUAGGUCACACAUCUAGUUUAUUUCUCAGGCAUACCAGUCCCUGGGACAUUUUUUCAAAGCCCUAUCUUGCUUAAUUGAUUUUCUGAAAUACACUAUGUGUCCACCGUAUUGAGGGAUUAAAUUGUAGGAUGACUUGACAAGAUUCCUUGUCACCCUCCCAUACCAUUGCUCAGAACCACACUGUAACACAGUUAAUUCUCCCCUCUCUAUUAUGCAGGAGUCAGUUCCAGUGAAUUCAGAAACACUUAUUUCCAAGCAAGCCUGCACAGGAUCUUUCUCAAGUCCACACAGUACAAACUUUCUAAAAUGCACAUUAGAUUACCAUCAGAAUCCCUGUUAAACAAUUCUUUAGCUGCCUCAUACAGCAUAAUGCUACACAUAAUUUGACAUGUAUGAGACCCAUUAAGUUUUAGUAUUCCUAUGCUGUUAAUCACAGGUGCUUUCA
Non-coding RNA from Pogona vitticeps (central bearded dragon), 2248 nucleotides. Lineage: Eukaryota; Metazoa; Chordata; Lepidosauria; Squamata; Agamidae. The record is from RefSeq and is a predicted model, not a curated record.